This 253-nucleotide ribosomal RNA is filed under the name uncultured bacterium. RNAcentral's name for it is "partial 16S ribosomal RNA". It matches the Rfam family "Bacterial small subunit ribosomal RNA", at positions 524 to 776 of the family's 1533-position model. The record is from RNAcentral.
UACGUAGGGUCCGAGCGUUGUCCGGAUUUAUUGGGCGUAAAGAGCUCGUAGGCGGUUUGUCGCGUCUGCUGUGAAAACUCAGGGCUUAACCCUGAGCCUGCAGUGGGUACGGGCAGACUAGAGUGUGGUAGGGGAGAUCGGAAUUCCUGGUGUAGCGGUGGAAUGCGCAGAUAUCAGGAGGAACACCGGUGGCGAAGGCGGAUCUCUGGGCCAUAACUGACGCUGAGGAGCGAAAGCAUGGGGAGCGAACAGG